UGGAUAUUAGUUAAUAUUUAUAACAUUUAAAUUGCAUUUAAAAAUUAAUAAUAAUAUAUUAUAUCUAA
This is a non-coding RNA of Apis florea (little honeybee), 68 nucleotides long. Lineage: Eukaryota; Metazoa; Arthropoda; Insecta; Hymenoptera; Apidae. The record is from the annotation of a RefSeq genome assembly.